GGGUUGUGAGGUUAAGCGAAUAAGCGUACACGGUGGAUGCCUAGGCAAUCAGAGGCGAUGAAGGACGUGCUAAUCUGCGAAAAGCGUCGGUAAGGUGAUAUGAACCGCUAUACCCGACGAUAUCCGAAUGGGGAAACCCAGUAUCCAAUGGAUACUAUCAUUAACUGAAUCCAUAGGUUAAUGAGGCGAACCGGGAGAACUGAAACAUCUCAGUACCCCGAGGAAAAGAAAUCAACCGAGAUUCCCCUAGUAGCGGCGAGCGAACGGGGAGCAGCCCAGAGUCUUAAUCAAUAGCAGUGUCAGGAGAACGGUCUGGAAAGUCCGGCAGUAAAGGGUGAUAGCCCCGUAUCUGAAGAUGCUGUUAUUGUGAACUCGACGAGUAGGGCGGGACACGUGUUAUCCUGUCUGAAUAUGGGGGGACCAUCCUCCAAGGCUAAAUACUCCUGAUUGACCGAUAGUGAACCAGUACCGUGAGGGAAAGGCGAAAAGAACCCCGGCGAGGGGAGUGAAAAAGAACCUGAAACCGUGUACGUACAAGCAGUAGGAGCCUCUUUAUGGGGUGACUGCGUACCUUUUGUAUAAUGGGUCAGCGACUUAUAUUCUGUAGCAAGGUUAACCGUAUAGGGGAGCCGUAGGGAAACCGAGUCUUAACUGGGCGAAUGAGUUGCAGGGUAUAGACCCGAAACCCGGUGAUCUAUCCAUGGGCAGGUUGAAGGUUGGGUAACACUAACUGGAGGACCGAACCGACUAAUGUUGAAAAAUUAGCGGAUGACUUGUGGAUGGGGGUGAAAGGCCAAUCAAACCGGGAGAUAGCUGGUUCUCCCCGAAAGCUAUUUAGGUAGCGCCUCGUGAACUCAUCUUCGGGGGUAGAGCACUGUUUCGACUAGGGGGUCAUCCCGACUUACCAACUCGAUGCAAACUGCGAAUACCGAAGAAUGUUAUCACGGGAGACACACGGCGGGUGCUAACGUCCGUCGUGAAGAGGGAAACAACCCAGACCGCCAGCUAAGGUCCCAAAGUCAUGGUUAAGUGGGAAACGAAGUGGGAAGGCUCAGACAGCCAGGAUGUUGGCUUAGAAGCAGCCAUCAUUUAAAGAAAGCGUAAUAGCUCACUGGUCGAGUCGGCCCGCGCGGAAGAUGUAACGGGGCUAAACCAUGCACCGAAGCUGCGGCAGCGACACAAAGUGUUGUUGGGUAGGGGAGCGUUCUGUAAGCCUGCGAAGGUGUACUGUGAGGUAUGCUGGAGGUAUCAGAAGUGCGAAUGCUGACAUAAGUAACGAUAAUGCGGGUGAAAACCCGCACGCCGGAAGACCAAGGGUUCCUGUCCAACGUUAAUCGGGGCAGGGUGAGUCGACCCCUAAGGCGAGGCUGAAAAGCGUAGUCGAUGGGAAACGGGUUAAUAUUCCCGUACUGGUGGUAACUGCGAUGGGGGAACGGAGAAGGCUAGGUUGUCCGGGCGACGGUCGUCCCGGUUCAAGCAGGUAGGCAGAGUGAUUAGGCAAAUCCGGUCACUUAAUGCUGAGAUGUGAUGACGAACCACCAAGGUGGUGAAGCAAUUGAUGCCCCGCUUCCAGGAAAAGCCUCUAAGCUUCAGGUUACCAACAAUCGUACCCCAAACCGACACAGGUGGUCAGGUAGAGAAUACUCAGGCGCUUGAGAGAACUCGGGUGAAGGAACUAGGCAAAAUGGUGCCGUAACUUCGGGAGAAGGCACGCUGGCGGUAGGUAAAGUCCCUCGCGGACGGCGCCCAAGCCAGUCGAAGAUACCAGCUGGCUGCAACUGUUUAUUAAAAACACAGCACUGUGCAAACACGAAAGUGGACGUAUACGGUGUGACGCCUGCCCGGUGCUGGAAGGUUAAUUGAUGGGGUUAGCGUAAGCGAAGCUCCUGAUCGAAGCCCCAGUAAACGGCGGCCGUAACUAUAACGGUCCUAAGGUAGCGAAAUUCCUUGUCGGGUAAGUUCCGACCUGCACGAAUGGCGUAAUGAUGGCCAGGCUGUCUCCACCCGAGACUCAGUGAAAUUGAACUCGCUGUGAAGAUGCAGUGUACCCGCGGCAAGACGGAAAGACCCCGUGAACCUUUACUAUAGCUUGACACUGAACAUUGAGCCUUGAUGUGUAGGAUAGGUGGGAGGCUUUGAAGUGUGGACGCCAGUCUGCAUGGAGCCAACCUUGAAAUACCACCCUUUAACGUUUGAUGUUCUAACCUAGGCCCAUAAACUGGGUCGGGGACCGUGUCUGGUGGGUAGUUUGACUGGGGCGGUCUCCUCCUAAAGAGUAACGGAGGAGCACGAAGGUUGGCUAAGCAUGGUCGGACAUCAUGCGGUUAGUGCAAAGGCAUAAGCCAGCUUGACUGCGAGAGUGACGGCUCGAGCAGGUACGAAAGUAGGUCUUAGUGAUCCGGUGGUUCUGAAUGGAAGGGCCAUCGCUCAACGGAUAAAAGGUACUCCGGGGAUAACAGGCUGAUACCGCCCAAGAGUUCAUAUCGACGGCGGUGUUUGGCACCUCGAUGUCGGCUCAUCACAUCCUGGGGCUGAAGUAGGUCCCAAGGGUAUGGCUGUUCGCCAUUUAAAGUGGUACGCGAGCUGGGUUUAGAACGUCGUGAGACAGUUCGGUCCCCUAUCUGCCGUGGGCGUUGGAAGAUUGAGAGGGGUUGCUCCUAGUACGAGAGGACCGGAGUGAACGCACCACUGGUGUUCGGGUUGUCAUGCCAAUGGCAUUGCCCGGUAGCUAAGUGCGGAAGAGAUAACCGCUGAAAGCAUCUAAGCGGGAAACUUGCCUCGAGAUGAGUCUUCCCUGUCGCUUUAAGCGACCUAAAGGAACGUUUAAGACUAAGACGUUGAUAGGCUGGGUGUGUAAGCGUAGCGAUACGUUGAGCUAACCAGUACUAAUGAACCGUGAGGCUUAACCUGACAACACCGAAAGUGUUUUG
RNAcentral lists this ribosomal RNA (2930 nucleotides) under Proteus mirabilis. Its description in RNAcentral is "23S ribosomal RNA". It matches the Rfam family "Bacterial large subunit ribosomal RNA". Lineage: Bacteria; Pseudomonadati; Pseudomonadota; Gammaproteobacteria; Enterobacterales; Morganellaceae. The record is from RNAcentral.